GGGGACAUAGUUUAACCUGGCUAGAACCGCCGCCUCCAGAGCGGCUAAUCGGGGUUCAAAUCCUCGUGUCCCCA
This 74-nucleotide transfer RNA is filed under the name Candidatus Woesearchaeota archaeon. RNAcentral's name for it is "tRNA-Trp". It matches the Rfam family "tRNA". From Rfam's summary of the family: Transfer RNA (tRNA) molecules are approximately 80 nucleotides in length. Their secondary structure includes four short double-helical elements and three loops (D, anti-codon, and T loops). Further hydrogen bonds mediate the characteristic L-shaped molecular structure. tRNAs have two regions of fundamental functional importance: the anti-codon, which is responsible for specific mRNA codon recognition, and the 3' end, to which the tRNAs corresponding amino acid is attached (by aminoacyl-tRNA synthetases). tRNAs cope with the degeneracy of the genetic code in two manners: having more than one tRNA (with a specific anti-codon) for a particular amino acid; and 'wobble' base-pairing, i.e. permitting non-standard base-pairing at the 3rd anti-codon position. The record is from RNAcentral. Lineage: Archaea; Nanobdellati; Candidatus Woesearchaeota.